GGGUCGGGAUGAGAGGUUCGCCAUCGCCGCGCCGCGGGCAGAGCCUCCCGCCGGCAGAGCCUCGCGGGCCUCGCGGGCCUUGAUGCAAAGCGCGAGCAUCGGGCAGCGCAGUGCAGCAUGUCCCCGCAGUCUGUGUGCGUUUGCAAGUGUGUGUGUUUCUGUGUGCGUGUACGUGAUUUGGUGGCAGCGCCCCGCCACAGUGAAGCAGUCCGUCGCCGCGGAGACUUGGACGGUGGCAACCGAUCCAGCGCCGCAAGGGACGUGACCAAGGUUCAAGCGUGAGUCUCAAUUGGAGCACGCAGGAAGCGUGCUUGCCGACCGGAGCUCCGCAGAGCUUGCUGCCCGUUCCCUGAGACCCUAAACUGUGACGUCAACAUUUAAAUAUCUCACAGGUUAGAUUCUCAGGUAUGGGAGGCUGCUUGCCAGCCCUGGACUACGAAAGAUGUAAUUUUCUAUAAUUUCAAUAAAUCUUAAACAGCCGUUUCCAUUUCAA
This 493-nucleotide unclassified non-coding RNA is filed under the name Thrips palmi. Its description in RNAcentral is "uncharacterized LOC117640948, transcript variant X15". Lineage: Eukaryota; Metazoa; Arthropoda; Insecta; Thysanoptera; Thripidae. The record is from RNAcentral.